This 242-nucleotide unclassified non-coding RNA is filed under the name Hevea brasiliensis (rubber tree). The record is from RNAcentral. Lineage: Eukaryota; Viridiplantae; Streptophyta; Magnoliopsida; Malpighiales; Euphorbiaceae.
ACUCACUAUCCAUAAUAUUUACAAAAAAUUCUAAGUAAAUAUGAAAAUAAAUCUUAAAUCUAAGCUAAGAACUAAGAAAACCAAUACAAGAAAGGUAGGAAAUAAGGAAGAAAGGAAGAAAACUCCAAAUCUAGUUCAGAAAUGGAGGUUUUUGCUCUGUUUUUCUCACUCUUCCCCUGCUGCUGCUCUUUUCUUCCUUCUUUUUCCUCUCCUUUCUGAAAUGAGAUAAGGACAUAUUUAUA